GGGGGCAUAGCUCAGUUGGGAGAGUAACAGACUGAAGUGUCAUGUAUUGCAGGGAUUAUUCUGGAGGUCCCCAGUUCAAUCCUGGGUGCCCCCA
Molecule: non-coding RNA, 94 nt
Organism: Armillaria luteobubalina
Lineage: Eukaryota; Fungi; Basidiomycota; Agaricomycetes; Agaricales; Physalacriaceae
Source: the annotation of a GenBank genome assembly